GUGCUCAAUUUGGCAGCACAUAUAUAAAAAUUAGAAUGAUGCACAGUAGAUGAACAUGGCCCCUGUGCAAGGAUGACCCACAAAUUUGUGAAGCAUUCCAUAUUUUU
Molecule: small nuclear RNA, 107 nt
Organism: Cynocephalus volans (Philippine flying lemur)
Lineage: Eukaryota; Metazoa; Chordata; Mammalia; Dermoptera; Cynocephalidae
Source: RefSeq, a predicted model, not a curated record